This 301-nucleotide unclassified non-coding RNA is filed under the name Hevea brasiliensis (rubber tree). The record is from RNAcentral. Lineage: Eukaryota; Viridiplantae; Streptophyta; Magnoliopsida; Malpighiales; Euphorbiaceae.
GGUCACCACUGAGGAGAUAUUAUAUUAUGCACGAAUGGAUGGAUCCUUGUCCACUGCAGGUCUGAAAGUGAUUAAUUUGAAGCAGUGUGAUGGAUACCGUGAAGCCUAUCAAAAUUGGCAUUGUUUUUAUACGUUGUUAGAACAGACGUGCAUGGGUAAAAGCAAUAGGAUUUUCAAAUACAUAACGAUGGCUGCUUAUUUAGGUUAAGGUUAUAAUGAAUUUAUUACAUCUCUCACUUGUUGGAUUCUAACUGUAAAAGGUACUGCUCUCUUUUUGCUAUUCUUGCCAACACAGCAAGGG